RNAcentral lists this ribosomal RNA (497 nucleotides) under uncultured bacterium. Its description in RNAcentral is "partial 16S ribosomal RNA". It matches the Rfam family "Bacterial small subunit ribosomal RNA", at positions 28 to 507 of the family's 1533-position model. The record is from RNAcentral.
GACGAACGCUGGCGGCGUGCCUAAUACAUGCAAGUCGAGCGAUGAAGAUUGGUGCUUGCACCAAUUUGAAGAGCAGCGAACGGGUGAGUAACGCGUGGGGAAUCUGCCUUUGAGCGGGGGACAACAUUUGGAAACGAAUGCUAAUACCGCAUAACAACUUUAAACAUGAGGUUUAAGGUUGAAAGAUGCAAUUGCAUCACUCAAAGAUGAUCCCGCGUUGUAUUAGCUAGUUGGUGAGGUAAAGGCUCACCAAGGCGAGGAUACAUAGCCGACGUGAGCGGGUGAUCGGCCACAUUGGGACUGAGACACGGCCCAAACUCCUACGGGAGGCAGCAGUAGGGAAUCUUCGGCAAUGGGCGAAAGUCUGACCGAGCAACGCCGCGUGAGUGAAGAAGGUUUUCGGAUCGUAAAACUCUGUUGUUAGGGAAGAACGUGGGUGAGAGUGGAAAGCUCAUCAAGUGACGGUAACUACCCAGAAAGCGACGGCUAACUACGUG